GGGUUUGUAGCUCAGCUGGUUAGAGCACACGUUUGAUAAGCGUGGGGUCGGAGGUUCAAGUCCUCCCAGACCCACCA
RNAcentral lists this transfer RNA (77 nucleotides) under Neisseria meningitidis 70012. RNAcentral describes it as "tRNA-Ile". It matches the Rfam family "tRNA". From Rfam's summary of the family: Transfer RNA (tRNA) molecules are approximately 80 nucleotides in length. Lineage: Bacteria; Pseudomonadati; Pseudomonadota; Betaproteobacteria; Neisseriales; Neisseriaceae. The record is from RNAcentral.